GACGAACGCUGGCGGCGUGCUUAACACAUGCAAGUCGAACGGUGAAGCGCCUUCCUUUUUGGUGGGUGUGGAUGAGUGGCGAACGGGUGAGUAACACGUGAGUAACCUGCCCCCUUCUUCUGGAUAACCGCAUGAAAGUGUGGCUAAUACGGGAUAUUCUGGGUCUGUCGCAUGAUGGGUCUGGGAAAGAUAUUGUUUCGGUGGGGGAUGGGCUCGCGGCCUAUCAGCUUGUUGGUGGGGUGAUGGCCUACCAAGGCGGUGACGGGUAGCCGGCCUGAGAGGGUGGACGGUCACACUGGGACUGAGACACGGCCCAGACUCCUACGGGAGGCAGCAGUGGGGACUAUUGCACAAUGGGCGCCAGCCUGAUGCAGCGUCGCCGCGUGGGGGAUGGAGGCCUUCGGGUUGUGAACCUCUUUCGCCAGUGAAGCAGGCCUGCCUCGUUUGUGGGUGGGUUGACGGUAGCUGGAUAAGAAGCGCCGGCUAACUACGUG
This 494-nucleotide ribosomal RNA is filed under the name uncultured bacterium. RNAcentral's name for it is "partial 16S ribosomal RNA". It matches the Rfam family "Bacterial small subunit ribosomal RNA", at positions 28 to 507 of the family's 1533-position model. The record is from RNAcentral.